This is a long non-coding RNA of Oncorhynchus tshawytscha (Chinook salmon), 2828 nucleotides long. The record is from Ensembl. NCBI's taxonomy places the organism in Eukaryota, Metazoa, Chordata, Actinopteri, Salmoniformes, Salmonidae.
GCUGCCAAGCGUGGAUGCCGCUCUAGGUUAUAGGUGGAGAAUGAGAAAGGUGAAGAUUGAAAGCAUUGCUCUGGAAGUAACAGUCCUAGAUCCUCUUCUAUACAGCACAGCCUUAUGUUAAGUAUUUCAAUCUUAAUUUUUUUUUAUUCACAGAAGGAACAGUGUUUAUAUAAUUUCCAAUCAUGUCUGGCACAUUAUAGUUGUAAUGUAUUUUCCUCAUUACAUCCCAUGUUAAUUAGAAAUGCAAAACUGUAUGUCCCAAUAUGCUUGUGUGUAGCUGUGAAUGUAAAAUAUGAAAAUCCCAAGCAGCCAGCCCAUAUGUAUUGAUGUGUAUGAUCAACUAUUUUCUGUUAUAACAACCCUAUACACUAAAACAAGUGACAUGUUAGACAACUGCAACCUCUAAAAUGUUAUGAUCUUGUGGCUAGCAAGUAGCAACUAAUGUUGUUCAGAAAGAUUUGUUUUCAAUUCUGAGCCAGAAAAUAUUUAGCAUUGUUCAACAUAUAGAAAGCCAGCCAAUAACUUUAGUUUGCUAGCUAUGAACUCAAAAAUGUUUUAGUUAUAAAUAAACUAGUUCGCUAGCUAAUAAUAGGCUGAACAUUUCCUUACCCCAUUGAAGUUAUUCAUUUUCCUUCUUGCAUGUCCUUUGUACUACCCAUGUUCACUUCUGGCAAGUUUCCUCCCUGCCCCCUAAUUUUGGCAAUGCAUGAUGUACCCUAAACAUUAAUAGAUCAUGGUCUGGCCCAAAAAGCUCACAAUACAUCAUGUAUGACCAACAAAACCAAUCAAAAUAUUUGCUCAGAUUCUGAGCAAAUAUUGCAUUUUACAUGGCCUCCUGUAAACGUCAGUCAUGCUACGAGUCUCUAGCCUUUAAUUGGGGAAUUAUCUGCACUGCCAAACUGCUUCUCCUCCGUUAGCGAUGUGCUGCGCAUGGUGGAUUGACACACUUGGUUUACACUAUCCUCAUUCACAUUAGAGGCAUCAGUGAAGGAGGGGUGAAUGUCAUAGCAAAAGGCUAGCAUGAAAUUAACCAUAUCCAAGUAAAAUGGGUACAAAGAACCACGUUCUUGGCUAGAUAUGGCCAGCUAGCAUGCUAGCACACAGAAGCUUUAUUUCAUGCAAAGUGCUAGGUACUAUGUCAACUAAUGUGCAAUGAUUAUAAGUGGUUUUAUACCUUUAAUUGUGACUCGUUUCAGGAAACUAGGCAUAUGUCGCGGGUACCUAUUUCACAGGAGAGUCAUUUGAAUGCAUUUUUUUAAUCCAAAAUGCUUUUUUUUGGCAGAAAUGCCUUCUCAAACAUGUGAACUUUCAUGUGCCUUAUUAACGGACUUUGAAUAAAAUUGUUAAAUUACGAGUCCAGUUGGUUUAGCCAUAGAAAAAGUCCGCAACCUUCCCACUAGCGUUGAUUGGCUGAGAUGAUGAGUGGGCUGGACAUGCCAAGAGAUGAUGUCACGACUUCCACCGGAGGUGGCUCCUCUUCCUGUUCGGGCGACGCUCGGCGGUCGUCGUCACCGGUAUACUAGCUGCCACCGAUCCUUUUUCCAUUUUUUUUGGUUAUGUCUGUUUUGUGUUUCACCAGGUUUCAUUUUGGUUAAUUAGGGGGGAUAUUUAUCUUGACAUUUCCUUUGGAUUUUGUGCGGGAUUGUUUUCAUUUGACUGUCAGUUUGGGUUGCGUUUUCGUUUGUUCAUGUUUAACAGGUGGUUUUUCCCUGGACUGUGUCUGAGUGGGGUUUUGAGGCUACUGUUGUAGUCCGGUGUCCAUUCCUCCAUGCAGAUCUCCUCUAGAGCAUUGAUGUUUUGGGGCUGUUGCUGGGCAACACAGACUUUCAAUUCCCUCCAAAGAUUUUCUAUGGGGUUGAGAUCUGGAGACUGGCUAGGUCACUCCAGGACCUUGAAAUGCUUCUUACGAAGCCACUCCUUCGUUGCCCGGGCGGUGUGUUUGGGAUCAUUGUCAUGCUGAAAGACCCAGCCACGUUUCAUCUUCAAUGCCCUUGCUGAUGGAAGGAGGUUUUCACUCAAAAUCUCACGAUACAUGGCCCCAUUCAAUCUUUCCUUUACACGGAUCAGUCGUCCUGGUCCCUUUGCAGAAAAACAGCCCAAAAGCAUGAUGUUUCCACCCCCAUGCUUCACUGUAGGUAUGGUGUUCUUUGGAUGCAACUCAGCAUUCUUUGUCCUCCAAACACGACGAGUUGAGUUUUUACCAAAAAGUUAUAUUUUGGUUUCAUCUGACCAUAUGACAUUCUCCCAAUCUUCUUCUGGAUCAUCCAAAUGCUCUCUAGCAAACUUCAGACGGACCUGGACAUGUACUGGCUUAAGCAGGGGGACACGUCUGGCACUGCAGGAUUUGAGUCCCUGGCGGCGUAGUGUGUUACUGAUGGUAGGCUUUGUUACUUUGGUCCCAGCUCUCUGCAGGUCAUUCACUAGGUCCUCCCGUGUGGUUCUGGGAUUUUUGCUCACCGUUGUGAUCAUUUUGACCCCACAGGGUGAGAUCUUGCGUGGAGCCCCAGAUCGAGGGAGAAUAUCGGUGGUCCCACAGUUGAUUUCUUCAAACCAAGCUGCUUACCUAUUGCAGAUUCAGUCUUCCCAGCCUAGUGCAGGGCUACAAUUUUGUUUCUGGUGUCCUUUGACAGCUCUUUGGUCUUGGCCAUAGUCGAGUUUGGAGUGUGACUGUUUGAGGUUGUGGACAGGUGUCUUUUAUACUGAUAACAAGUUCAAACAGGUGUCAUUAAUACAGGUAACGAGUGGAGGACAGAGGAGUCUCUUAAAGAAGAAGUUACAGGUCUGUGAGAGCCAGAAAUCUUGCUUGUUUGUAGGUGACCAAAUGCUUG